GCCUUUGCCUUACGGCCUGGAGCACCAGGCCGAAGCCGAAGGGAGCGUCCGGAUCCCGGAUAGCAGCCAGGACCCGGGCCUUCACGUUCCGGCGCCAGGGACUGGACAGAAUGUGCGGCUAUUAGGUGCCCAGUAGAUCGACAGCCCCUCCGUGCCGGCCCUUGGCCAAGUAGGGACUCGGAAGCUACCCCUACGGCGUCCGCGCCCGGAGCCCUGGCUCUUCUACCUGCCUGCAGAUACAAACCCCACUCCCUGCGAAGAUGGUGUACACGCAGCCCCGAGCACAGACCCGAAGCUGUCCACCCUUCUUGGGCGCCGUCGCGGUCUGGCCGCUGCCCUUCGAACCCAUGCCAUGUUGGAACUACAUUUGGAAAGGUGGUUGUUAAACAUUUCCCAGCACACACCUGGAUCUGCAUCUGCUGUGUCAAUUGAACCACUCACUGGUUCUGUGACCUCAGUUCUUCGUAGACUCUGGAAUGGAGCUGGAAGCUGUCAUCCUCAGCACACUAACGCAGGAACAGAAAACCAAGCACUGCAUGUUCCCACUUAUAAGUGAGAGCUGAACGAGCAGAACACAUGGACAUAUGAAGGGGAACAACACACUCUGGGGCCUGUGAGGUGCAGGGAGAGCAUCAAGAAGAACAGCUAAUGGGUGCUGGGCUUAAUACCUGGGUGAUGGGUUGAUCUGUGCGGCAAACCACCAUGGCACACAUUUACCUAUGUAACAAACCUUGACAUCCUGCACAUGUACCCCGGAACUUAAAAAUAAAAGUUGACAAAAAGAAA
RNAcentral lists this long non-coding RNA (786 nucleotides) under Homo sapiens (human). RNAcentral's name for it is "non-protein coding lnc-DHRS7-1:17". Lineage: Eukaryota; Metazoa; Chordata; Mammalia; Primates; Hominidae. The record is from RNAcentral.